UACGUAGGGGGCAAGCGUUAUCCGGAUUUACUGGGUGUAAAGGGAGCGUAGACGGCAUGGCAAGCCAGAUGUGAAAUACCGGGGCUCAACCCCGGGACUGCAUUUGGAACUGUUAAGCUGGAGUGUCGGAAAGGCAGGCGGAAUGCGCGGUGUAGCGGUGAAAUGCAUAGAUAUCGCGCAGAACCCCGAUUGCGAAGGCAGCCUGCCGGCCCCACACUGACGCUGAGGCACGAAAGCGUGGGUAUCGAACAGG
RNAcentral lists this ribosomal RNA (253 nucleotides) under uncultured bacterium. Its description in RNAcentral is "partial 16S ribosomal RNA". It matches the Rfam family "Bacterial small subunit ribosomal RNA", at positions 524 to 776 of the family's 1533-position model. The record is from RNAcentral.